GGGUAACGGGGUGUUAGGGCACGACACCGGAGAGGGAGCCUGAGAAACGGCUACCACAUCCAAGGAAGGCAGCAGGCGCGCAAAUUACCCAAUCCCGACAUGGGGAGGUAGUGACAGUAAAUAACAAUACAGGGUUCUUUUGGAUCUUGUAAUUGGAAUGAGUACAAUUUAAAUCUCUUAACGAGGAACAAUUGGAGGGCAAGUCUGGUGCCAGCAGCCGCGGUAAUUCCAGCUCCAAUAGCGUAUAUUAAAGUUGUUGCAGUUAAAAAGCUCGUAGUUGAAUUUCGGGAUCAAGGAAUCGGUCAUGCCUUGGUAUGUACUGGUUUUAUUGGUUCUCACCUUCUAAAGAACCAUAAUGUCAUUUAUUUGAUGUUAUGGGGGAUUAGGACUGUUACCUUGAAAAAAUUAGAGUGUUUAAAGCAAGCUUACGCUUGAAUACAUUAGCAUGGAAUAAUGAAAUAGGACAUCAGAUUCUAUUUUGUUGGUUUCUAGGAUCGAUGUAAUGAUUAAUAGGGAUAGUUGGGGGCAUUAGUAUUCAAUUGUCAGAGGUGAAAUUCUUGGAUUUAUUGAAGACUAACUACUGCGAAAGCAUUUGCCAAGGAUGUUUUCAUUAAUCAAGAACGAAAGUUAGGGGAUCGAAGACGAUCAGAUACC
This 654-nucleotide ribosomal RNA is filed under the name uncultured Glomus. Its description in RNAcentral is "SSU rRNA". It matches the Rfam family "Eukaryotic small subunit ribosomal RNA", at positions 357 to 1016 of the family's 1831-position model. Lineage: Eukaryota; Fungi; Glomeromycota; Glomeromycetes; Glomerales; Glomeraceae. The record is from RNAcentral.